CACAAAUAUCCGACGAGGCAAAAUCGUAGACGUCGUGACUUCUGAGAUGUCGCAUAUGUUUAUUUAAUUAAAUUGCUUAGAUUCAGCACUUCGUUUUCAGAUGUGGGUAAAGCUGCUGUGUGUGCCGCCACAACAAAUCGUGCUUUUCAUCAGUGUUUUUAAAGAACCUUUCAGCACUUUGACCGUCUGUUUACCGUGGCUGCGGCAUAGCUGGUGGCAUGGGAGGAAUGAUGCUUUUUCAAGUGCUUGUUCCACUGCUAUUGGUUGCCACAGCAUCAUCUUCAGAAGAUAAAGUGUUUGUCCUGAAAGGAGGGUCCAUCGUGUUGCAGGCGGAGCAAGUGACUAGGGUUUCCUCUAUCAUCUGGAAACACAACAAGGAGAAAGCUGCAGAAUGGUUUGAGGGCGAUGAUGCGCCAACCUAUUAUAACAUAUUUCAAUAUGU
Long non-coding RNA from Clupea harengus (Atlantic herring), 442 nucleotides. The record is from Ensembl. Lineage: Eukaryota; Metazoa; Chordata; Actinopteri; Clupeiformes; Clupeidae.